This 247-nucleotide ribosomal RNA is filed under the name uncultured bacterium. RNAcentral's name for it is "partial 16S ribosomal RNA". It matches the Rfam family "Bacterial small subunit ribosomal RNA", at positions 29 to 261 of the family's 1533-position model. The record is from RNAcentral.
AAUGAACGCUGGCGGCGUGCUUAACACAUGCAAGUCGAACGAGGCCAGGGGGGCAACUCCCUGAGUCGAGUGGCGGACGGGUGAGUAACACGUGGGUAACCUGCCCGGAAGUGGGGAAUACCUCGGGGAAACUCGAGCUAAUACCGCACGACACCGUUGGGACGAGAGUCCCGAUGAUCAAAGCGGGGUCGCAAGGUCUCGCGCUACCGGAUGGGCCCGCGCCCGAUUAGCUAGUUGGUGGGGUAAC